UAGCGGCAGGCUAACGCAUGCAAGUCGAGGGGCGAGCGGGAUGUAGCAAUACAUUGCCGGCGACCGGCGGAUGGGUGCGUAACGCGUAUGCAACCUACCUAUACAGGGGAAUAACCUUUCGAAAGGGAGACUAACACCCAUGGUAUUGAUUUAAGGCAUCUUAGAUUAAUUAAAUAUUUAUAGGUAUAAGAUGGGCAUGCGUAUGAUUAGCUAGUUGGUAAGGUAACGGCUUACCAAGGCGACGAUCAUUAGGGGUUCUGAGAGGAAGGUCCCCCACACUGGUACUGAGACACGGACCAGACUCCUACGGGAGGCAGCAGUGAGGAAUAUUGGUCAAUGGGCGCAAGCCUGAACCAGCCAUGCCGCGUGCAGGAAAGACGGCCUUAUGGGUUGUAAACUGCUUUUACAUAAGACUAACCGUAUAUUUGCGAAUAUACCUGAAUGUAUUAUGAGAAUAAGGAUCGGCUAACUCCGUGCCAGCCGCUGC
Molecule: ribosomal RNA, 487 nt
Filed under: uncultured bacterium
Lineage: Bacteria
Description: bacterial SSU rRNA
Rfam family: Bacterial small subunit ribosomal RNA
Source: RNAcentral